This 357-nucleotide ribosomal RNA is filed under the name uncultured bacterium. RNAcentral describes it as "bacterial SSU rRNA". It matches the Rfam family "Bacterial small subunit ribosomal RNA", at positions 917 to 1271 of the family's 1533-position model. The record is from RNAcentral.
GGGCCCGCACAAGCAGUGGAGCAUGUGGUUUAAUUCGAAGAUACGCGCAGAACCUUACCAACACUUGACAUGUUCGUCGCGAGCCUAAGAGAUUAGGCUUUUCAGUUCGGCUGGACGAAACACAGGUGCUGCAUGGCUGUCGUCAGCUCGUGUCGUGAGAUGUUGGUUAAGUCCCGCAACGAGCGCAACCCCUACUUUAGUUGCCAGCGAGUCAUGUCGGGAACUCUAACAAGACUGCCGGUGCAAACCGUGAGGAAGGUGGGGAUGACGUCAAAUCAUCACGGCCCUUACGUCCUGGGCUACACACGUGCUACAAUGGUCGGUACAGAGAGCAGCCACUACGCGAGUAGGAGCGAA